CCGGCCCCGGCCGUGGAGCUGCAGCCCGCCCGCAGCCCGCCCGUCUGAGCCGCGCCGCCAGGAUUCAGAGAAGAUGAGACAUGACAUUACUGCCAUUCAGUAGGGGAAAAACAAUGAUGCGGAUUACGCAAAGAAGAUUCCCUAUACUAGAUUAGGAUUCUUCCAUUAUGGAAUCUGAAAGAGGCAUACCACGCCACCUCUGCUACACUUUUCCAUAUUGGACUGGAGAACUUUCUUUAUAAUUACCAAUAACCACGUGAAACACAUCCCUCUCUCACCAGUUUGCAAAAUCGCAUGUAACUCGUUUGAAAACAAAGUGGGUUACGCUUCUUGUUUACGCAAUGUUUUUAAUAGAAAAGGAAUGGCAGAACUUAAUGUAGAAACACCUUUUUUAAAUACCUAAAAUAUUUGGGUGCCAAGUUGUUAUAGUGUGUAACUAAAGUACAUAAAUGAAAUUACUGUGAACUUUACUAUGGCAGUGCAAUACAUUUAGAAGGGUGGUUUUAAGGUCCCUUUGAAAUAACUGAUGCAAAAGUAUAAAGAUAAAAUAUUUGUGUACUAUUAUAAAUACACAAUUUGUGAUUUUUGUUAUUUGGUAACGUGUAAUCAUUGAUCUCUAAAUAAGCUCCUUUUCAAGAUCUUUCAAACUUUGUAUUUUAAACCUUGUUUGAAUAUGGACAAAACUAAUGGAAAGGUUAGUGUCCUAACCAUAUUUCUUUUUACCUGAGAUAAUAGGAACAAUUUAUCAUGAAGUAACAGUAUGAAAUGGAGAGGAAUUCUCAUCAUGUAAUAUAUUCCAGGAAACAUUGUCCCGAUGAUGUAUUAUUCCAGAAACUGGAAACUAAAUCUAACUCGGAGAAAUGUGUCAGGUAAUACUUUACCAGCUCAUAAGGAGGUAAAAACUAAAUUGUAGCUAAGGGUAUCUGAAAACCCUACGGAUUGACGGCCCUGCCUAUUGUGAAGUCCCUAUUUGUAUUUUCCUUGUUGACUGCAAUUUCUGUAUAUCAUUGGCAAAUAAGGGUGUGUCUUUUACCUGCACUGUACUGCUUUAUCAUUAAUUUCUGGCUGCCACAUCUAAGUUGUGUAUUUGUAGAACGGAUCACAGCAAACCAUUCUUGGUCCAUCAGACCUCUAGGGCGACCCAAAAAUGUUUUCCUGUGAAGUAGCAGGAGGAA
Gavialis gangeticus (Gharial) is the source of this 1175-nucleotide long non-coding RNA. RefSeq lists it as uncharacterized. The transcript has 2 exons. Lineage: Eukaryota; Metazoa; Chordata; Crocodylia; Gavialidae. The record is from RefSeq and is a predicted model, not a curated record.